RNAcentral lists this ribosomal RNA (468 nucleotides) under uncultured bacterium. RNAcentral's name for it is "partial 16S ribosomal RNA". It matches the Rfam family "Bacterial small subunit ribosomal RNA", at positions 28 to 507 of the family's 1533-position model. The record is from RNAcentral.
GACGAACGCUGGCGGCGUGCUUAACACAUGCAAGUCGAACGGAAAGGCCCUGCUUUUGUGGGGUGCUCGAGUGGCGAACGGGUGAGUAACACGUGAGUAACCUGCCCUUGACUUUGGGAUAACUUCAGGAAACUGGGGCUAAUACCGGAUAGGAGCUCCUGCUGCAUGGUGGGGGUUGGAAAGUUUCGGCGGUUGGGGAUGGACUCGCGGCUUAUCAGCUUGUUGGUGGGGUAGUGGCUUACCAAGGCUGUGAGGGGUAGCCGGCCUGAGAGGGUGACCGGCCACAAUGGGACUGAGAGACGGCCCAGACUCCUACGGGAGGCAGCGGGGGGGAAUAUUGCAGAAUGGGCGGAAGCCUGAUGCAGCAACGCCGCGUGCGGGAUAACGGGCUUCGGGGUGUAAACCGCUUUCGCCGGUGACGAAGCGUGAGUGACGGUAAUGGGUAAAGAAGCACCGGCUAACUACGUG